AGCGAACGCUGGCGGCAGGCUUAACACAUGCAAGUCGAGCGGGCAUCCUUGUGGUGUCAGCGGCAGACGGGUGAGUAACGCGUGGGAACGUGCCCUUCGGUUCGGAAUAACUCAGGGAAACUUGAGCUAAUACCGGAUACGUGCGAGGGCAGAAAGGUUUAUCUGCCGAAGGAUCGGCCCGCGUCUGAUUAGCUAGUUGGUGAGGUUACGGCUCACCAAGGCGACGAUCAGUAGCUGGUCUGAGAGGAUGAUCAGCCACACUGGGACUGAGACACGGCCCAGACUCCUACGGGAGGCAGCAGUGGGGAAUAUUGGACAAUGGGGGCAACCCUGAUCCAGCCAUGCCGCGUGAGUGAUGACGGCCUUAGGGUUGUAAAGCUCUUUUCUCCGGGACGAUAAUGACGGUACCGGAGGAAUAAGCCCCGGCUAACUUCGUG
RNAcentral lists this ribosomal RNA (437 nucleotides) under uncultured bacterium. Its description in RNAcentral is "partial 16S ribosomal RNA". It matches the Rfam family "Bacterial small subunit ribosomal RNA", at positions 29 to 507 of the family's 1533-position model. The record is from RNAcentral.